This is an RNA transcript of Humulus lupulus (European hop), 13259 nucleotides long. RefSeq lists it as uncharacterized. The transcript has 4 exons. The record is from RefSeq and is a predicted model, not a curated record. Lineage: Eukaryota; Viridiplantae; Streptophyta; Magnoliopsida; Rosales; Cannabaceae.
CACAUUAUUCUUAGCUAGCCAAACUCAUCAGCCGCCCCUCUUUCUUUCUUUCCUCUCCUCAUACCCUAUGUUUCUUUCCCUCAUACCACCACCAUCAUCUUCGUUAGCUCCAUCUCCCCUCACCCAAAAAUAGCCAGACCCCGUCGUCCCUCCCUCACCAUCUCCGACCUCAACGGUCCUACUCGGGUCGUGAGGACCCAAGUGCAAGUGUCUGAAUCACCCAGGCCCAUCUCAGCCUCCCUCGUGCGUGACCCCGAAGCCAGGUGACCCAAACCCAGAUGCGACCCCAACUUAGCCCUCACCACCAUUUGACCACCCUUGCGCCACCUCACCUCGCCUGUUUUCACACCAAACCACGACCAGACCAGGAGUGAUUUCUGCCUCUCUUCUCUUCUUUUCACAUGUAUAUAUAUUUUACCCUAACAGAGAUGGUCAAUGGCAACAACGCCUUUGAGAAAACCAUUUGCUCAAUCUGCUACAAAGAUCUCAAGGGCAUUAUUGAAGAUCUUCAAGCUGUAUCCAUUUGCGGCCAUGUCUUCCACGAGCUAUGGUUGGUCUUGGAACGACUGGGAAAGGACAACAAAGAGCUCAAACAAGAGAGACAAGACCUAGGGAGGCUGAAAAACAGGACAAGUCUUCUAAUCAUAUUCCAAAAUGGUAGUAGCUUGGUUUGGGUCAAAGACUGACCUUUAUUGAUAGCAUUCUGAGGCACCAAUCUUUUAAAUUUUAGGUAAAGGGAAAAGAAAGUUGGACCAUCCUUGAGUUGGAGAGCUUAGGUGACGAUGUGUACAUAUGCGGCUGCUCGACCGCCACAGCCGAGGGUUUAAAAAGGAACUAGGGUCAAACCCUAUUUUGCCGCUUUGAUCGGCUGGUUGUAACUUUUCCAUUGUAAUUAACCUUUUAAAUGUAUUUUGGGAUCCCAUGUAUGAGGUAAACGCUUUGAUGAAAUAAUGGUACCUUUCUCCAAAAAAUUUAACCCAAAACUGUUAAUCUCGUUUAGUUACACAAUUAUGGCAAAAUGACUUGUUUAGCAAGUUUAGCGUUAUUUAAAAUACACAGUGUAACGGUCCCUGAGUAGUAGGGCGUUGCUAUAAUCCAUCUAAAGCAUACAACAGGAUGGGGGCUGAUAAUUAACUCCUGAAUAACCUAGAUGCCAAGGAUUCAACCCUCAAGCAGCUAACCCUAAUGGAAGAAUAGAUGAAGAAACUCCUAUUUGGGAAAUGAGUCGACGAUUGUGAUGCCAAUGAGGAUCUUGAGCCUUUUGCUCCUAACAAUGUGACAGCUCCGUAUCCUAUUAGCUUGAGGAUGCCGACCAUGACCACAUAUGAUGGAAACUCCGACCCGUUCAAUCACAUUGGGACCUUCAAUACCUUAAUGAUGGCCCACAAUGAUUUGACCUAAGAUGUAUCCUAUUCCUAGCAACAUUGACUGGGUUAGCCAAGUUAUGGUUCAAUAAGUACUAGAAACAUUUAAUCACUUCAUGGAAGAAACUAUCUUCUGAAUUUAAGAGGCAGUUCAGAACUGCGAAGGAACUUCGCGUUGAAGUCGAUUCAUUGGCGAACAUCAAACAGCAGCCCGGUGAAUCCCUGAAGGCAUAUCUGAAUUGGUUUACCAAUGCGGCAACACGAGCUAGAUAUGCUGAUGACAACUCCAAGGUCAUGGCUAUGAGGACAGGGAUCACAGUAGGAGGUGAUUUAUGGAAAGAACUCCAGCGGAAAGGAGUUAGGAGUAUAGAUGAAUUCUUAGCUCGCGCUCAGAAAUGGAUAAAUCUAGAAGAAGCACAAUCUGCUAUCGCGGGAACCAGCCAGACCCCUAUUCAUCCCGUUGGAGCAGUAACAGAUGUUGCAGCUACAACUCAGCCUGCUACCCAGAAUAACUAGGCAGGGAGUAAUAAUCAGAAGGGGAUUGGUGAGGGCGACCACAAUGGCACUAAAAAGAAUAAACUCAGUGAAAAUUACAAGUCCAUCUACAUCGCCUAUACCGACCUGACAGAUACACGAGAGCAUAUCUUCUUGGCAAACUCUAAUCGCCUUCCAUGGAAGAACUGGAGCCUCUGAGGCACCAGAGGAUGAAGAGAGACCCAGCCAAAUUCUGUCGAUAUAACAACGACAUCAGCCAUAACCCUGAUGAUUGCAGUCAGCUAAAAGAAGAGAUCGAGACUCUCAUCCGAGCUGGAACGUUAGCCCAAUAUGCCUGAAACAGAGUAGUUCCCAAUCAGUCAGCAUGGUAAAAUAUUCAACCAGCUCAGGAAAAUCUUGUCAAUCAACCCCAGGCUCAACCAGGCCAGGGGAAUCAGAUCGUCCCUCCUCCAAUAGAAGGGAGGGACAUAGCCACUAUUUCUGGAGGACCUCAUCUGCCGAGCACGAGUAAUAGGGCCCAGAAGAGGUACAUACAGGAGCUAAAAACCCACAAUGGCACUGAGUUCAUUCUGGAGAAAAGGUUAUCAAAACAACAGCGGUUGGAAAAACAACCAAUCAUUUUCACGGAAGAGGACACUAGCCAUGUCCAGUUCUCGCAUAAUGAUUCACUGGUGAUAACCAUUCAGCUCACCAAUCGAAGAGUACAGAGAAUACUAACUGAUAAUGAGAGCUCUGUAAACAUGCUAUUCAGGUCCACCCUAGAAAAAGAUGGGGUUAUCUGUAGCUGAUCUUAAGGCAACCUCGAUGACCCUAUACGGACUCUCGAGAGAAGAAACAGCAGCUAUAGGGACGAUCGGGCUUGUAGUGACACGGGGAGAUGAUAUGCAAACUAUUGCUAAAAUGCUCAAGUUCGUCGUAAUCGAUUGUCCAGCUGCAUACAACGCAAUUUUGGGAUGACCCGCGCUGAUGACUUCUGAAGCUAUCACCUCAAUCCGACAUUUAACAAUGAAGUUCCCUUCGACCUCAGGUAUAUUACUGUAAAAGGGGAUAAGCUCACAGCUAGAUAAUGCUAUAGCAUUGCUAUGAAAGGAAAAUCACAACUCAGGCAGCAAGCGAUUGUCAUCAUUGAAGGGAAUGAGGAGCCUCUGGUAAUGGAAAUUGCUCAUGGGGCGAAAGAACCUCAAGAAAGAGAUAACAAGGUCGCCCAACAGGAUGGCAUUGAUCCGAUAUUAGGUGAAGACAAGUCUAAGCUCCAAGCAAUGGAGGAGCUCGAGGAAAUCAAUAUUGACCCAGAGAUACCUUCAGGGUCGUAAUGGUGGGAAAGAAUCUUGGAACUGAAAGGAAGAAGGAGUUGGUCGAGUUUUUGAGAAAUAACCUGGACGUUUUCGCUUGGUCACAUGAAGAUAUGGUGGGAAUCAAUCCAAAUGUUAUGAUGCAUACUCUGAAUCUGGAUAGGAAUGUACCUGCAAAGGUGCAAAAAUGAUUUUUUUUUUUGGAAGGAAUGAUCAUAAGUUUUAGAAGAAGAAUUAUCUCACUUACUUAAGUGUGGAUUCAUAAGGGAAGCAAAAUAUCCAACCUGGAUUACUAACUCUGUUUUGGUCCCAAAGCCCAAUGGAAAGUGGAGAGCUUGCAUUGAUUUCUUUGACCUCAAUAAGGCUUGUCCUAAGGAUUGUUUUCCACUACCUCGAAUCGAUCAGUUGGUAGACACAACAGUCGGUCACGAGCUCAUGUCUUUCAUGGACGCAUAUUCUGGAUAUAACUAGAUCGCAAUAAACCCUGCAGACCAAGAGCACACUAGCUUCAUGACUGAGCAUAACGUAUACUGCUACAAGGUUAUGUCAUUCGAGCUGAAAAAUGCUGGUGCAAUGUACCAACGACUGGUCAACAAAAUGUUUGUUAACCAGAUUGGGAAAAACAUGGAAGUGUACAUUGAUGAUAUGCUCGUUAAAUCAAAGACUGCCAGCAACCAUGUAUCUUACCUAGAAGAAUGUUUGGGCAUGCUAAGGAAAUAUGACAUGAAGCUAAAUCCUAGAAGUACACCUUUGGGGUUUCCUCAUAAAUUUUUUUGGGCUUCAUAGUCAACACAAGGAGGAUAGAUGCAAACCCAAAGAAGAUCAGGUCGUUACUAGAAAUGUCUUCGCCUAGGCCACCUAAAGAAGUACAAAGCUUAAUUGGAAAAGUGACGGCCCUAAACUGCUUCAUUUCAAAAUCCACUGACAAGUGUUCAAGACAUAAGCCACUAAUCUUGUACUCUGACAACAGUGGAGCAGUAGCUAAUUCCAAAGAACCGAGAAGCCACAAGAAAGGAAAGCAUAUAAAAAGGAAAUACCAUCUGGUAAAAGUGAUUAUACACCGAGGUGAUGUGAUUGUUAUGAAGAUAGUGUCGGAAUAAAACCUGGCUGGCCCGUUUACCAAGACACUUCCUGCAAAGUCGUUCAUGGGUCACGUACGCAAUAUGGGAUUAAGGGAGAUGCCUCACUUGCUUUGAGGGCAAGUGGGAGAUUGUUAGGAUUGAUGCCCUAAAAGCAUGUAAAGACAUUUUAUUGGUUUUAAAUAAAAGUACAAUUUUAUUAUAUUUGAAUGUUAUAAUUAUUGUUUGAAUUAAUUAUAUAAUAAUAUCAAGAAAAUUCCCUAUUCAUUUACGAGAAUAUGAUCUUGUAUUAGUACAAGAGAAUUAAGAUCAUAUAUAAUGAAUAAAAUAGCCAGUAACAUAUUAAAUUAUGGAAUCUUUAAUGAAUGUUUACUAGUACGUUUGCUAAGCAUACGAGAUGCGAGUAAUCUAGAUUCGAAUUACUGGUGUUGAUAGACAUCUUAGUAAAGGUGUUGUAUAUAAUAAAGAUUAUAUAUGACAGGACCGAUGAGAAUUAAUUAUCUUUAUAGAGUUGUCGUUUGACGUAAAGAUUUCAUUCUUAUCAUAAUAGAUGAUCAUUUGUAGAUCAGUCUAAAUCCUGAGUAUUCAUGAACUCCUGUUUAUAUUUAUUGGAUCUUUUGAUUCACUCAUUAAGGUCUCUUAGAAUAAUGAGACUAAUGACUUUUGUUUUGGAGAUUCAGUAUCAUGAAUGGCUGGGAACAUGAAUUACAAUAAUGGAAUUCAUGCUUUCCUAACGGAUUGAAUAUUUGUUCCAUUAAGGGUUCACUCUGGAACUGAAUAGCUAUUGAGCUCAAAUCUAUAAUUAGAUUAUAGAUUAAUUAUUCGCUAAUGAAUUAACGGUAAUUAAGGAUCAAUAGGUAAUUAGAAGGGUAAAAUGGUAAUUUUGACCAGCUCUAAUUAACGAACCAAUAAUGGAGGACAGAACUACAUAUAUUGAUUAUAUCAAUGGACUACAAGAGAAAACUUUGUAAAUGUAAUUCUAUAAAUACUUAGAGUAAAACUCCAUAUUUAUAGUGGAGUAAUCAUAGAAUUAAUAAAUAAGACUAUUAGAUUAAAGAGUUUCAUUAAUAAUCUUGUUUAUUGGAGCUUCGUAUUAUAGGUCCAUGGUCCCCAGAUCACCUCUGUCCUACACUGUCAAGAGUAAGGAUGUCAAAAGAAAUAUUUGUAAAGAGAAAUGACUAAAUUGCAAAGGAAUUAAUUUUCCAAGGCAAGGAAAUAAUUAUGUGAUAAUUAUGGGUAAUUGAUUAAUUGUGAAUUAAUUAAUUAAUUAACUAUAUAGUUUUUAUUUUGAAAAACUAUAGGUUAAAAUUAUAAUUAAUCUUGUUUGGAUUAAUAUGAAGAGAGAAUAAUAAAUAUCUUAUUUACAAUAUAAUAUUUAUUUAUUUAAUUUAAAACUGAUAGUUUAAGAUAAAGUUAAUUUUAAAUUAACUGAUAUUUAUGUUGGAAUAAAUAUAUUGUCGUAAAGAUUGAUUAAACAAACAAAUGAGAAAAUCAAAGAAAUCUUAAUUAGGUUGGGAGACAGACACUCUGCAACAUAGUGUGUGGCGCCUAACUCAGGGAUUUUUAUCCCUGAGGUUUGAAUUUUGAAUUUCAAAUAAUUUUUUUUAAUUAGUUAUUUAAUUAUUCUUUUUAAAUAUGAUUUAAAUAAAUAAUUCAAUAUAAAUAUCUUAUUAGUUUUAAUUUGAAUUAUAUUUUUAAUAAAAUAAAGAUUAUUUAAUUAGAUCAAAUAUCUUUAUAUAAGUAUGAUAGUAUGUGACUUUAAGAAUAAACUUUAUUAUUAUAUUUUAGAAUAAAAAUAUAGACUCACUCUCUCUCUCUCUCUAAAGCGAUAGUUUUCUCAAAACCUGAAAACUAUUCUAAACCUUCUCUUUGUCAAACCUCUCUAGAUGUCAUGUGUUGAGUACAUCUAGAGAGUCACAUGAAUCAACAUUUUUAAUCCUACGUGCCCACACACGUCCUUGUAUGUUUAAGGAUUGGUCUGGAAGAUCAGGGUGUGAGCUUUUAGAUUGUUGGAUAAGAUGAUUGUUAAUUUUAUACAAAAAGAUUCGAGGACACUUGAUAGGCUACAAGAGGUAAUCCUUGAUCUAUUUUGUAUGUGAUUUAAUUUUUAUAUAUGUGUAUGAUCCUGGCUGGUAUUAAUAUUUAUUAAAAUGGGUUUAUAUAUUUCGUUGCAUAUCUUUGAUUUGAUCAUUUAAUACCAACACUAACAAGAACGGAUCCAGAGAUGGGAUAGUUCUAAUCUUGCCUGAGGGACAUCGAUUCCAUACAACCCUGAGGUUCGGUUUUGAAGCAUCCAACAAUGAAGCAGAGUACGAGGCUCUAUUAGCGGGAAUGCGAGUGGCAAAAAAAACUUAAAGCAAAGGUGAUUCAAUGUUACAGUGAUUCUCAUCUCAUGGUUAAUCAGAUAUUGGGGGAGUAUCAAGCUCGAGGUAUCAAAAUGGAAGCUUAUCUAGCUAAGGUUAAAGAUGAGUUGUCUGAGUUUGAGUUCUGCUCCAUUGAGCAAGUACCCCGUGAGCAAAAUUCGACUGAUGAUGUGUUAGCCCGACUUUCCACCACCAAAAAGGCGGAUACGUUAAAUGUAGUCCCAGUGGAUUUCUUAGAACAACCAAGCAUAACGAAAGAACAGAUUGAGGUCAGAGUGAUUGACACAAAAGCAACCUGGAUAACCCCCAUAGUAGAAUACCUCACAACUGGUAAGCUACCAAAUGACCGAAAGGAGACAAGAAAAUUGUUAUAUCAAGUUUCACGUAUGUUCUGGUUGAGGGAAUUCUCUAUCGAAGAGGGCAUUUGCUCCCCCUCCUACGAUGUGUUCUCCCCGAGGAAGCACAGACUAUCCUACAUGAGAUACAUGAAGGAUUAUGCGGAGACCACACUUGGGGGCAAAACCUGGCUCUAAAGAUAUUGAGGCAGGGUUCAUUUUUGGCCUACGCUCAAAAAGGACUCGGCCUCAUACGUCCAAAAGUGUGAUAAGUGCCAACGCUUUUCCACAAUCGCUCGAGCAGUACCCAUGGAGUUAACCAUGAUUUCAUCACCCUGGCCAUUCGUAGUAUGGGGGAUCGACCUGAUUGGUUCACUACCAGUUGGAAAAGGAGGAGUUUGCUAUGUAUUUGUCGCCAUCGACUACUUUACAAAGUGGGUCGAGACCGAGCCUUUGGCAACCAUAACCUCGAAGAGAGUCUUGGAUUUCAUCAUAAAUAACAUCAUAUGCCAUUUUGGGAUCCCAAAGAAGACCAUGUCUGACAAUGGAACUCAGAUCGAUAGUGAUCUUUUCACGAACUUUUGUGAGAAGUACAACAUAACCAAGAGUUUUUCUUCAGUGGAGUAUCCGCAAGCUAAUGGGCAGGUCGAGUCUAUAAAUAAAACCCUAAAGGUGAGCUUAAAGAAAUGACUACAUGAAGCUAAGGGAUUAUGGCCCGAGUAGCUCCCGCAAGUACUUUGGGCCUAUAGGACCUCACAUCGCACCUCCACAUGGCACACUCAUUUCUCUUUAAUAUUUGGAAGUAAGGCUAUGCUCCCAAUUGAGACACUAGUGACAUCACAUAGGCAGAAAACCUUUGACCAAGAUCGAAACCAAGACUUGUUCAACGCAUCUUUGGACCUGAUCGAGGAAAAAUGGGAGGAGUCAUAAUUACAGCUAACCCAUUAUCAACAGAGGAUUACUCAUUACUUUAACUCAAAGGUAAAAGGGCGUAGACUCGAACUGGGUGACUUAGUGCUCCAAAGGGUGUUUUUGGCAAAUAAAGAUCCUAAAGAUGGUGUAUUGGGACCGAACCGGGAAGGACCAUACCAGAUCGUGGAAAUCUUUCGUGAAGGAACCUUCAAAUUAGCUCAGUUAAGUGGAGAGUUGGUCCCAUAAACCUGGAAUGCUCUACAUCUCAAAAAAUACUAUCAGUAAUAGGAUGACUUUGUUAGUUUUUAAUGCUUUUAGUAUUUUUUCGUGUAAGGCUUAUUUAUAAAAGUCAUUCUAUUUUAAUAACACUGGACUACUACGUAAUUUAAAUGUAGAAUCAAUAUUUUAUCUUAUUCUUGUAAUGUAUGUGCUCAUUUUGUAAAAGCGACCUAGAAUAUUCAUAAGUUCUGAUUACUUGGGGGGCAUAUAACCCUAAAAGAGUCUUUAAAGUAUUUAAAAAUUUUGGAUGAAAUUUACAAAACUUAGAAUGUAGAAAAUUGAUUAUUCUACGGCUUUUUAAAGCUCAAAUUUUCAAAGAAAUUCUGAAUACGAACUUAGUUAAGAAAAUUAAAAGAAACAAAACCUAGAAUUCAACUAGGAAAUCCUAGAUAUAACCAGGGGCAAUGCCUAAUUCCUAAUAGUUGCAAUGCUAUUGGGCGAGCAAACGCCUAGAUAUAACCAGGUCCAUGGCCUGAUUCCUAACAGGUACAAUGCUAUUGGGCGAACAAACUCCUGGAUAUAACCAGGUCUGAGGCCUGAUUCCUAACAGGUAUAAUACUAUUAGGCGAGCAAACUCCUGGUUAUAACUAGGUCAUUGACCAGAAUUAACUGGUCGAGUCAUCAGACACUCAUCUCGAUCUAAAGUUAACCCCUAUGACUAUGCAAAUAUACAAAGACUUAAAGUUCAUAAACAUGAUAGGAUAAUAGGUGAAGGGGAACAAAAAUAAAUUAGAAAUUAAUGAACAUGUACUAACAUAAUUAUAUGAAUAACUCAAGGAGAAAUUGUCUCGGCCUAAAAGGCCUAUAUACAAAAAUCUCCAAGCCUAAAAUAUAUAUAUAUACAUCUAUAAGAGAGGUCCCCCUUCAUCCCUGAGCUCCGGUGACUUGCCUCUGGGAUGACACCUCUUCCUUCUCGACCUCUGCCGCAGCUCCGAAAGCCUCGGCUGUAUCCGCAAGCUCCUUUUAUAAUUUGUCCUAGAACUUGGCAAGGUAGCUCCCCCAAACUUCCGCAUCCAGGAAUGAGAAGUCCCAUUCCUGGUUAUACACCCAGACCUGAUAGAACAUUUCUUCUAAAGAGCUCUCCGCUUCAGCAACGUCCUCCUUUGCUUUGGCCUUGACCUCCACAAGCCUUUGCUUUAGAUUGUCGACCUCCGCAAGCUUCUGCUUAAGAUCAUUAACCUCAAGCUGAAGCUGGUCCCGCUGUUGAAUCACCUCCAAGGCUUGAGCUUUGGCAACUCGCUCAUUCUCUUGCGAUAUCUUCAGGGCAUUGUUGGCCUCAUCCAGGGCUGCCUUCGUGGCGUUGGCUUCCUCCAAGGUGACCUACACCUCCCCCAAGGCGGUCUUGGCCUCAUUAACCUUGGCUCAGACCCAGGCGAUGCCACGGAUCUAAGCCAAGCAGGAUUGCAAACAAAGGAUAAAGAAGGGUUAGUUUUUGAAGGUGUGGGGCUAGAAGAAGAAGAUCAGUAUAGUAUUUACCGUCAAAGUCAUCCCUAACGUAGAGUCAAGGAUGGUCGUUGAUUGUCGUGACUCAAUAGCCAACAACUCUUUAACGUUGACCACGCUCGCGUGCUUCAUCAUGUGGCUCACAAUCUCCUAAUAUGAGCUGCGCAGGGGAGCUGGGAUGGUGACUGUUGAGGCUUCGGUUUGGAUGACUUGCGGGAUAAAAGUGGGGUCGCGAAGAGCUGGUGGAGGAACAAGCAGAGUCGUGAAUACGGUGGGCUAAGGCUGCUGCUUCUUCUGGGUGAAGCUGGCACCCUUGUCUUUUGUAGGAGACCCGGUGGCGGUUCCAACUCCUGGAGCUAUUUUCUUUGAAACCCUCAGCCUCUUUACAUGUGGUUUGGUCUUGAGGGCCUCCUUUAGAUUCAUUUAUUCAUCUAAAAAAGGGCAAGCAGAAGAAUCAGGUCCAAGAAACAAUUAGUCAAGAUAACAUAAAGCAAAGAGUAACAGUAUAAGAACCCUACCCUCUGAACUAGAGGAGGAAAUUACUAUGAUCAACUCUGGAUUAUGAACUGGGCUAGGUAAAACCUUUACCUCUUGGAUUAUCGAAGGAGGGGGAGACUCUAGUAUUAUUACAUUGUGAGACCUACGGGGUUCAAGCUCCUCGUCUGGACUAGACUCGGGCUCGGCCUGCCUAAUAUCCGGGGUAAAAACACCAUGACACAAGGAAGGCCAUGAUAAAAGGUUUGUACCGUAUUUUUCAAAUAUAGUGGACCUAAAGUGUAAGGUGUUAUCUACCACUACGGUACAUUUGGGGUAGCUAUGAUCGUGGCGUACAACUAAUUGGUCCACACACUAAAGGAGGAUCACAUUCAAGUCCAGAUCAACCGGGUCAACUCACGAGCUGCCUUGGGUUGAAUCGGACUAGCCUAAAAAUGGCAGCUGCUCGAUUCAUUUCUCUAUAUGGGUUACCUUGGCCGAAGGUGCCGGCUGCUGCCCCCAAUUUAGCUGGGCCUUGGUUAGGAUCUUGUCCAUCCUUAGGAACCUUUCUUUUGCUCACCAACUGUGCGACCUCCUCUUCUUCAUCAACCUCUUCAUCGGCUAGGAAGAGUUGUUGGGGAGGAGGGAGCUCGGGGAGAGGGCCUAAAACCCUAAUGGCCAGUGUCUGAUCCUCGCGGACCAGCUUGCAAGCAACCAUGGUGGCAUCAUUUACCACCAUCUGAAACUCUUUCUCCUUCGUAGGAGCAUGGGAUAGAGUCUCGUAUUGACCUCCGAGGGUCUUUGACCACUUCGUUCUCUUAUAUAUAGCUUCACAAAGUAACAACUCGUUCAGAAUAAGUUUUAACUUGGUUAAGAAAGAAUUCAAAUGCAAAGUUCGAGAAGAUGAGAAACUUACGAGGAUGGUUGAAGUAUUGAUGAUUGCAGUUCUUAAACCAGUUUGACAUGAAGAAUUGAUCCUUAUAAUCAUUUGGGUGGGGAGGUCGAUGAUAGAGGUUGUGCUAGGAAACCUGGUGAGGUAGUAGAAGCCAUCACCUUGCCCCUUUUACUCUGAAUUGGCCUUGAGGAAAAAUAAAUACAUAAUAUCGGCGGGGAUGUCCCACUCAUCCUUCAAAAAUAAAUACUUCAACCCCACCAGAAGUCGAUACGAGUUAUGGGGAGCUGGAACGGUGCCAGUUCCACGUAGUUUAAAAAAUCUACGAAGUACUGGUCCAAGGGAAGAAAGGUACCUGCCUUCAAGUGCUCAUCACUCCAUGCCCCAAAUUUGUCUUGGAUCGCAGUACAGCUCUGCUCUCCGUCCAACAGAAAGCGGGCAAUAAGUACUUUGGAGCCUAUCUUGAUCCCGUGACUCAAUAAGAUUUUGUUAACCUUACCCUGAGUCUUUAUCCAAGAUUCGAUAUGCUCGGCCUCAAAGAAGGCGUUGGCGUCAACCACAAUCUGCCUAUCCAUCAUUGGGCCGCAGUGAGGAAUAGGGGUCUCGAAGACGACCUCCUUAUCUUUAUUUUGGCUUUAAGAGAAGGAGUUCUCCACUGUUUUUUUCUUCUGGUUGGCCAUAAUUAAGUUCGCUUGGCAACAGAACGGCAUAUUAGAGGCGACCUAAGAUGUAACUUCACUGUGACACUAGAAGUGAGGGAAAGCUAGAGUUUUAAGUUCAGUUUACUCAACCUAAGGUACUUACGAGCUAGAUUCUCACCUAAUGCUAAUACGUGGGUUCACAUGCAGUCAAAAACCACACGCCAUAACCUUGGGAAACCCAUGAUACUUCGAGAUUCGCGUGUCAUACCCAAUACCUUUUUGGAAAGCGGUUUAAAGCAAAACCAUUGGAGAAACAGUAACCCUUAAGCUACCUAGAACUAAACCUAAAAAAGAAUCCCUAAAAUAUUCAAGUUCAUGUAUUCAGAUGUUCCUCUUUCAAACCUAGAAAACCCAUAAAAUUACCCAUUUUUGUGCAUUAUUUCUAAUUGAGUCUAGUGCUAUUGUUUUUGGCCUAACAAAAACCCACACUAAACUCAAACAUGACCAAAGUAAGAAAACAUAUUGGAAAAUUUCAUAAAACUUAUUGAAAAAUAAGAAGAUGAAAUUUAAAUCGGAUAUAAAGAUACUUACAGUUUGAUUUUUUGGUCGAGGAAAUUAUAGCAGCACCAAAGGUAAUAACCUAAAAGCUUCUGGAAAAUGAGGGAACGCAGAAAGCUCUGAAAGUAUUUUGAGAAGAAAAAAGAGGAAAUUUUUUUAAUGCAAAUGUGGUAAGAUUACGGUCUGGUUCUCCUAUUUAUAUGUAAACUUCGGGAACUGAUUUAGGCCGCACGAUUGAAUCAAUUCGAGAUCCAAGGGCCUGGAUUAAAUAAAUCAAACAGCGGAAAAAAGUUAACAAGCUAGUUGUCGCAUUACUCGAAACCCAAAUAGGUGUCUAUUACAGACUGACAUGUGCCCGUACUCGAGUGAGUGGGUAGGCACAAUUUAACAUGACAGAAGCCAAAAAGCCCCUACUGUGUGUGUCAGAAGCGACGAGCAGGAGCUUGGGGGCAAAUGUUGCACCCCAAAAAUACGAGCUAAAUUACUCGGCAUGGGGUACAGCUAUCAGACAAGCGUAUGAAGAAAGCGUACAGAUAAAGCAUCUAGCUAGCUCUUGAGUGAGCAGCUCGAGUCAAACUUGACAACUUACGACAACCAGAUAGUCUCCAGAUCGCCUCUUACGCCAUCAACUUAGUUCGAGAUGCGUGUGAGCUAGAUCGCGUUCGUGAAACUCUGAACAUGAUCCGUGUUAGUUCAAAUUAGUUAUUCGACACCCAACUCGAAGGAAGUGUUCAGCUCGCGGAAGCCUGAUCAUGACGCAUAGUGAAGGAUCCCAAAAGACUCGGAGAUUCUUUAUACCCUCAUUAAUGCUCAGAUAUUAUUUUGUAUUUAUUACCCGAUAUUGUGGGCAUAGAAUCAAUGCAUUAAUGUAUUUAAGUAAAUGGGAUGUUAUCCAAAAAUGUAUGCCACCAUAUUUAUGCAUGGUUACCCAAAAUUGUCCUGCCAGAAUUCCCUAUAAAUAUAGGGGAGAAUGGACAGAAAAGAGGAUCGACUUUUUUGUGUACUGAAACUCUGGUGAAAUUGUCACAAACAAUGUCAUAGUGAGAACAAAACAGAUUAAUAAGAGUGACUCAUGGACUAUGUGGAUUUUUAACUACUGAACCACGUAAAAACUGUGAGAGUGUUCUUGAUA